GGUGAUCCCGGCCCGGCGCAGCCGGACGCCGGCGCCGAGGCCGCCGAAGCCGGAGCCGAUGACGGCGACCCGCACGUGCGGGACGGGCGGGUCGGUG
Molecule: transfer RNA, 97 nt
Filed under: Kitasatospora phosalacinea
Lineage: Bacteria; Bacillati; Actinomycetota; Actinomycetes; Kitasatosporales; Streptomycetaceae
Description: tRNA-Leu
Source: RNAcentral